Molecule: ribosomal RNA, 407 nt
Filed under: uncultured bacterium
Lineage: Bacteria
Description: partial 16S ribosomal RNA
Rfam family: Bacterial small subunit ribosomal RNA
Source: RNAcentral
GAUGAACGCUAGCUACAGGCUUAACACAUGCAAGUCGAGGGACCGGCGCACGGGUGAGUAACGCGUAUCCAACCUUCCAAUUACUGUGGGAUAACCUGCCGCAAGGCAGACUAAUACCGCAUGGUAAUGGAAGGGGGGGCGUCGGAUUAGCUUGUUGGCGGGGGAACGACCCACCAAGGCGACGCUCAGUAGGGGUUCUGAGAGGAAGGCACCCCAUAUGGGAACUGAGACGCGGUCCAAAAUCGUACGCGAGGCAGCAGUGAGGAAUAUUGGUCAAUGGGCGAGAGCCUGAACCAGCCAAGUAGCGGGCAGGAUGACGGCCUAUGGGUUGUAAACUGCUUUUGUAUGGGGAUAGGUACCCUACGAAUAAGGACCGGCUAAUUCCGUGCCAGCAGCCGCGGUAAUUC